This is a long non-coding RNA of Mauremys reevesii (Reeves's turtle), 451 nucleotides long. RefSeq lists it as uncharacterized. The record is from RefSeq and is a predicted model, not a curated record. The transcript is spliced from 3 exons. Lineage: Eukaryota; Metazoa; Chordata; Testudines; Geoemydidae.
CUGGAACAGGAGGAGCCAGAGGACCAGGGCCCCACCACUUUUAAAAGUGGGAGGACUAUGCGCUCACAAUUUUUACCGGCUCCUUGGGCCACCCCAGAUCUGUGCACGGAGGAGAACAUCACACCCUGAUCUUCUCCCAUAGGGUUGCAGAUGGAUCAGCCACCUCGGCAGCACUAUUUUUUCCUCCAACCCUAUAGCAGUCACCCCAUGGGUCUGGGGUCCACGUGGACGGAAGGGAUGAAGUAUGAUUAUCAAAAGUACCAGAACUCCAUUCCGGCUCCCCCUAAAAGUGCCAGAACAGCAUUCCAGAGCAUCCCAGCACGAUUCAAGCACUGGUACAAACACACAAAAGGAAACAGUUCCUGCCCUAAGGACCUUGUAAUCUACAAAGACAAAAGGAGUGGAGUGCAGUCAAAUUAUAUUCAGUUUUCUAUACACAUCAGACCUGAUC